GUAGGUGAACCUGCGGAAGGAUCAUUAUUGAAUGAACUUGGUGUGGUUGUUGCUGGCCCUUUCGGGGGCAUGUGCACACCCACCAUCCUCAUCUCUCCACCUGUGCACCUCUUGUAGACUUGGAUUGACUUUCCGAGGCAACUUGGUCGGGAGGACUUGCUGGCGCUAGCUGGCUUUCCUUGCAUUUCCAAGUCUACGUUUUUCAUAUACCCCAUUGAAUGUAACAGAAUGUAACAUUGGGCCCUUGUGCCUAUAAAAACUUAUACAACUUUCAGCAACGGAUCUCUUGGCUCUC
Molecule: unclassified non-coding RNA, 295 nt
Filed under: rhizosphere metagenome
Description: partial ribosomal RNA internal transcribed spacer region
Source: RNAcentral